UCCUACGGGGGGCUGCAGUGGGGAAUAUUGCGCAAUGGGCGAAAGCCUGACGCAGCAACGCCGUGUGAGGGAUGAAGGCUUUCGGGUCGUAAACCUCUGUCAGAAGGGAAGAACGGGUGAUGGUCUAAUAGGCCGUCAUUUUGACGGUACCUUCAGAGGAAGCACCGGCUAACUCCGUGCCAGCAGCCGCGGUAAUACGGAGGGUGCAAGCGUUAUUCGGAAUUACUGGGCGUAAAGCGCACGUAGGCGGCCUUGUAAGUCAGGGGUGAAAUCCCACGGCUCAACCGUGGAACUGCCUUUGAAACUGCAGGGCUUGAAUCCUGGAGAGGGUGGCGGAAUUCCUGGUGUAGGAGUGAAAUCCGUAGAUAUCAGGAGGAACACCGGUGGCGAAGGCGGCCACCUGGACAGGUAUUGACGCUGAGGUGCGAAAGUGUGGGGAGCAAACAGGAUUAGAUACCCUAGUAGUC
Molecule: ribosomal RNA, 467 nt
Filed under: uncultured Desulfomicrobium sp.
Lineage: Bacteria; Pseudomonadati; Thermodesulfobacteriota; Desulfovibrionia; Desulfovibrionales; Desulfomicrobiaceae
Description: bacterial SSU rRNA
Rfam family: Bacterial small subunit ribosomal RNA
Source: RNAcentral